This is a long non-coding RNA of Sarcophilus harrisii (Tasmanian devil), 199 nucleotides long. RefSeq lists it as uncharacterized. The transcript is spliced from 2 exons. Lineage: Eukaryota; Metazoa; Chordata; Mammalia; Dasyuromorphia; Dasyuridae. The record is from RefSeq and is a predicted model, not a curated record.
GUGAGUGGGUUAGAGGUGUUUUUUUAUGGAAGGGACUAUUUGUUUCUCUUAUAGUCUGACCAUGAUGAUUAAACAUUGCUUUCUAAGCUUCCUUAUCACAGUCCUCUGGCUUCAUGGAGGAGGAAGCGUACCAGUACAGGAAUCUCUGAGUCCCUUGAAGGUUGAAUUUCAGUCACUUAAUCUCCAGAGUAUUUUACAC